AGAUUGAGCGCUGGCGGCAUGCUUUACACAUGCAAGUCGAACGGUAACAGGCCGCAAGGUGCUGACGAGUGGCGAACGGGUGAGUAAUGUAUCGGAACGUGCCCAGUCGUGGGGGAUAACGCAGCGAAAGCUGCGCUAAUACCGCAUACGAUCUAUGGAUGAAAGCGGGGGACCGUAAGGCCUCGCGCGAUUGGAGCGGCCGAUAUCAGAUUAGGUAGUUGGUGGGGUAAAGGCUCACCAAGCCAACGAUCUGUAGCUGGUCUGAGAGGACGACCAGCCACACUGGGACUGAGACACGGCCCAGACUCCUACGGGAGGCAGCAGUGGGGAAUUUUGGACAAUGGGCGCAAGCCUGAUCCAGCAAUGCCGCGUGCAGGAAGAAGGCCUCGGUUGUAAACUGCUUUGUACGGAACGAAACGGUACCUGGUUAAUACCUGGGCGUAAUGACGGUACCGUAAGAAUAAGACACCGCUAACUACGUAGUCCACGACGACGCCGUA
Molecule: ribosomal RNA, 500 nt
Filed under: uncultured soil bacterium
Lineage: Bacteria
Description: bacterial SSU rRNA
Rfam family: Bacterial small subunit ribosomal RNA
Source: RNAcentral